GCCCUCUUAGCUCAGUGGUAGAGCGUGUCACUCGUAUAGGAGUAAAGGGAGCCGGCGUUACAUGACAAGGUCAGUCGUUCAAGUCGGCUAGGGGGCA
RNAcentral lists this transfer RNA (97 nucleotides) under Armillaria solidipes. It matches the Rfam family "tRNA". From Rfam's summary of the family: Transfer RNA (tRNA) molecules are approximately 80 nucleotides in length. Their secondary structure includes four short double-helical elements and three loops (D, anti-codon, and T loops). Lineage: Eukaryota; Fungi; Basidiomycota; Agaricomycetes; Agaricales; Physalacriaceae. The record is from Rfam by way of RNAcentral.